AUUAUAUACCUGGUAGUCCACGCUGUAAACGAUUUCGAUUUGGAGGUUGUGCCUUUGAGGCGUGGCUUCCGGAGCUAACGCGUUAAAUCGACCGCCUGGGGAGUACGGCCGCAAGGUUAAAACUCAAAUGAAUUGACGGGGGCCCGCACAAGCGGUGGAGCAUGUGGUUUAAUUCGAUGCAACGCGAAGAACCUUACCUGGUCUUGACAUCCACAGAACUUUCCAGAGAUGGAUUGGUGCCUUCGGGAACUGUGAGACAGGUGCUGCAUGGCUGUCGUCAGCUCGUGUUGUGAAAUGUUGGGUUAAGUCCCGCAACGAGCGCAACCCUUAUCCUUUGUUGCCAGCGGUUCGGCCGGGAACUCAAAGGAGACUGCCAGUGAUAAACUGGAGGAAGGUGGGGAUGACGUCAAGUCAUCAUGGCCCUUACGACCAGGGCUACACACGUGCUACAAUGGCAUAUACAAAGAGAAGCGACCUCGCGAGAGCAAGCGGACCUCAUAAAGUAUGUCGUAGUCCGGAUUGGAGUCUGCAACUCGACUCCAUGAAGUCGGAAUCGCUAGUAAUCGUAGAUCAGAAUGCUACGGUGAAUAC
Molecule: ribosomal RNA, 591 nt
Filed under: Klebsiella sp. 110
Lineage: Bacteria; Pseudomonadati; Pseudomonadota; Gammaproteobacteria; Enterobacterales; Enterobacteriaceae
Description: bacterial SSU rRNA
Rfam family: Bacterial small subunit ribosomal RNA
Source: RNAcentral